AGUAUAAAUCAGCUAAAUUAAGCUUUAGGGCUCAUAAUCCUAGCAUGUUGGUGAAACCCCAACUUUUACUA
This 71-nucleotide transfer RNA is filed under the name Gnatholebias zonatus. RNAcentral's name for it is "tRNA-Met". Lineage: Eukaryota; Metazoa; Chordata; Actinopteri; Cyprinodontiformes; Rivulidae. The record is from RNAcentral.